UGUCCGGAAUUACUGGGCGUAAAGGGCUCGUAGGUGGUUUGUCGCGUCGUCUGUGAAAUUCCGGGGCUUAACUCCGGGCGUGCAGGCGAUACGGGCAUAACUUGAGUACUGUAGGGGUAACUGGAAUUCCUGGUGUAGCGGUGAAAUGCGCAGAUAUCAGGAGGAACACCGAUGGCGAAGGCAGGUUACUGGGCAGUUACUGACGCUGAGGAGCGAAAGCAUGGGUAGCGAACAGGAUUAGAUACCCUGGUAGUCCAUGCCGUAAACGGUGGGCGCUAGGUGUGAGGGUCUUUUCACGACUUUCGUGCCGUAGCUAACGCAUUAAGCGCCCCGCCUGGGGAGUACGGCCGCAAGGCUAAAACUCAAAGGAAUUGACGGGGGCCCGCACAAGCGGCGGAGCAUGUGGAUUAAUUCGAUGCAACGCGAAGAACCUUACCUGGGCUUGACAUACACCGGAUCGGGCUAGAGAUAGUCUUUCCCUUUGUGGCUGGUGUACAGGUGGUGCAUGGUUGUCGUCAGCUCGUGUCGUGAGAUGUUGGGUUAAGUCCCGCAACGAGCGCAACCCUUGUCUUAUGUUGCCAGCAUUUGGUUGGGGACUCAUGAGAGACUGCCGGGGUCAACUCGGAGGAAGGUGGGGAUGACGUCAAAUCAUCAUGCCCCUUAUGUCCAGGGCUUCACACAUGCUACAAUGGUCGGUACAACGCGCAGCGACACUGUGAGGUGGAGCGAAUCGCUGAAAGCCGGCCUUAGUUCGGAUUGGGGUCUGCAACUCGACCCCAUGAAGUCGGAGUCGCUAGUAAUCGCAGAUCAGCAAUGCUGC
RNAcentral lists this ribosomal RNA (820 nucleotides) under uncultured bacterium. RNAcentral describes it as "bacterial SSU rRNA". It matches the Rfam family "Bacterial small subunit ribosomal RNA", at positions 542 to 1360 of the family's 1533-position model. The record is from RNAcentral.